Molecule: ribosomal RNA, 803 nt
Filed under: Bacillus altitudinis
Lineage: Bacteria; Bacillati; Bacillota; Bacilli; Caryophanales; Bacillaceae
Description: bacterial SSU rRNA
Rfam family: Bacterial small subunit ribosomal RNA
Source: RNAcentral
GGGCCCGGGCCGGGUGCCUAAUACAUGCAAGUCGAGCGGACAGAAGGGAGCUUGCUCCCGGAUGUUAGCGGCGGACGGGUGAGUAACACGUGGGUAACCUGCCUGUAAGACUGGGAUAACUCCGGGAAACCGGAGCUAAUACCGGAUAGUUCCUUGAACCGCAUGGUUCAAGGAUGAAAGACGGUUUCGGCUGUCACUUACAGAUGGACCCGCGGCGCAUUAGCUAGUUGGUGAGGUAACGGCUCACCAAGGCGACGAUGCGUAGCCGACCUGAGAGGGUGAUCGGCCACACUGGGACUGAGACACGGCCCAGACUCCUACGGGAGGCAGCAGUAGGGAAUCUUCCGCAAUGGACGAAAGUCUGACGGAGCAACGCCGCGUGAGUGAUGAAGGUUUUCGGAUCGUAAAGCUCUGUUGUUAGGGAAGAACAAGUGCAAGAGUAACUGCUUGCACCUUGACGGUACCUAACCAGAAAGCCACGGCUAACUACGUGCCAGCAGCCGCGGUAAUACGUAGGUGGCAAGCGUUGUCCGGAAUUAUUGGGCGUAAAGGGCUCGCAGGCGGUUUCUUAAGUCUGAUGUGAAAGCCCCCGGCUCAACCGGGGAGGGUCAUUGGAAACUGGGAAACUUGAGUGCAGAAGAGGAGAGUGGAAUUCCACGUGUAGCGGUGAAAUGCGCAGAGAUGUGGAGGAACACCAGUGGCGAAAGGCGACUCUCUGGCCUGUAACUGACGCUGAUGAGCGAAAGCGGUGGCGGCUGACCCGGAUUUAUAUACCCCUGUGUAGUCCCGCCGUACACGAUUGU